RNAcentral lists this long non-coding RNA (679 nucleotides) under Anas platyrhynchos platyrhynchos (common mallard). Its description in RNAcentral is "lncRNA (ENSAPLG00000028163.1)". Lineage: Eukaryota; Metazoa; Chordata; Aves; Anseriformes; Anatidae. The record is from RNAcentral.
CCCAGAAUAAAAAUACAGCAGAGACACGUGGAGGAAAGGAGCCGUCGGGACAAACGGCCAUGGGAAAUCCUGGAAAGACACCGAAGUCCCGCAGGAGCGAGGCACCCAGGUGGGCUGAGGACAGAUCCUGGCACCCCUGCUCCAAACUGGGAAGGUAUUUCUGGGGGUUUUCCCGAAUAUUCAGAGAGCAGCAGCGAUGCAGCCCUUGGGACAGAUGGCCACAGCCCCAAAACCUGCCAUUUUUGGGGUGCCCCUUGCUGUUGAGUGCACCUAGAGCCAACCACUGCCUUUUGGGAAGAAAUGCCAUUUGGGACGUGAAGAUGGCGAGCAGUCCGGGGAGCCACACUGCAGGUUUGAACUUGUAGAACAUUACUGCUCGUGAAUUAUGGAUAGUGAUUGCACCUCCUGGACGAUAAAUUAUUGAGCUGACAUGCUGGAGGGAGACCACACGCUGGUGCCCUGCGGAGGGGGGGGGAUGUUUGGCUCCCCCUGCUCCUCCCGAAGCUGCGGGAGCCCACCCGGUGCCACCGAGUCCCCCACGAGGGCAGCCACGGGUGACAGCCCCAGCUGGCGGGGGAAAUUUUGGCUCAGCCCUUGGUGCAGACCCGUUGGACAUGGAGCUCCUGGCUCGCUGGGGCUGCUCACACCUCUCCAAUGCACGGAGCUGGGUGUCCCCCUG